This 1859-nucleotide long non-coding RNA is filed under the name Sus scrofa (pig). RNAcentral describes it as "lncRNA (ENSSSCG00015036127.1)". The record is from RNAcentral. Lineage: Eukaryota; Metazoa; Chordata; Mammalia; Artiodactyla; Suidae.
GGACCAUGGCAGCUUCCACAGCAUCUGGGGGUUUGCCCUGCUUAUCCUGUGCCAGCAUCUGCAUGUUCUGGAAGAGGGUUUUGCAUUUUCGAGAGACGCUUGGCGCCCCAACGCUUCUCCUAGGCCCAUUCUGAAAAGAGGUGUCCAUACCCUCCAGAGCCACGGAGUUGCAGUGGCAAUAGAAGCCCAGGAAGAGAGACUACAUCGGCAUGCCUACAAUGCUGAUGAUGGCAUGGAGCCAGGAGAAAGGAUGAGAUGGAAGAUGUGAAGAGUGUCGGGCCAUGGACUAGAUGGAGAUGGAAGAAAAUGUCAGAAAGGAUGCAGUGGAGGACUCCCUUCUUUUUACAUACUAUGGAAGAGCUGAAUGUGGCAACUAGUACCUCUCUUCCAUUGCCCUCACAGUUUUGGAUUUCCAGAGGUUUCUAGAUUGCCCUUCAAUGCCAGUGGUAUUCAUCAAUGAACAUUCAGAAAAGUUUUGAAAACAACAAACAGUAAGUCAAGGAGUAUCUGGCACCUGGGACCAAAUUCUGCUUGAAAAAGAUUACUUCAUUCCUUAAGGUUCAGUUUGCCAACUGUAAAAUUGAGAUGGUAUAAUAUCCACUUGGAGGGUUGUUAUGAAGAUUAAUGACAUAAGCAAACAUAUAGUAAAUGCCAAUGAUUUAGUUGUGUUUAUGUUUGCCACUUGUUUUAAUUACCAAGAGGCUUGGAAUGGGAGAGUAAAACCUCUGUUCCCUUAGGAAGCUUGAGGCCUACUAGCUUGUCUAGAUUGGUGAUUUUAGAUACCAGUUUAGUAGGCACUAAGAAAAUAGUUCAUAUAUGAUUCUGAAAGGGCAAACAAAAGAAAUGGGCAAUAAUAAAGACACUUUUUGGGAUAUUUAAAAUACAAAGGGCUUUGAUCUUUAAUUUUUGUUGACUUACAGAUGUGAUUUGAACAAAAAAGAUUAUUGAGAUAAAAAAAAGAAUUGAACCAAUGAACUGGAAUGGGGAAAUUAUGGCUUUUGAAGAGUGACAAUUCAAAAGAGAAACGUUGAAUGUUGAUAAUAUCUGUAAACACUCUGUGGUUGUGUGCUGAAAACUGGUAUGCUAUGUUCCCCUGUAUUUGUUUUAAUCUAAUUUUCACCUAACAAAGUUGUAAAAGUAGUAGUUUCUAUUCAAACGUAAGAAAGAAAUACAGGACCGAGGCCCUUCCUGCUUGAACUGUCUUAGGGACUUUCCCAUAAUGCCUAUAAUCCCAAAUGAUACAUUGUGAAUAUCUUUCUGCAGCAAUAUAUAUGUUUCCACAACAUUUUAAAGGAUAGCUUAAUAUUCAUUAUAUGGAUAUGUCAUAAUUUGUUUAAUGCAUCAUUUAUUAUUAGACAAUUUCAUUGCAUUUUAGCUUUCCCCUUUUACAUACAAUGAUGUGAUGACCAUCUUUAUACCAUCAUUUUUAUGUACCUUGCUGGGUGUGCUGGUGCUGAGCAUUUUCUUACUUGGCUCAUUUUAUCCUCAGGACAGCCAGUGUGAUGGCUAUUACUAUUAUCUCCAUUUCACAUACCAGGUGUUGAAGUUCUCAUUCAGUAAUUUGUAAUUUUUAUUUAGCUCAUCAGUGGAAUCAGGACCUGAAACCAGAUUCUAUUGACGUCCUGAUUGGCUCUUAACUGCCACACUGUAUUGAUCUUUUAAAUUACUGCCUUCAGCAAAUUUCUAGACCUGGACUUUCUGGUUAAGCAGAGAUGCACAUUUUAAAGAGUUUUGAUACAUAGUAGCUAAUUGCCUUCCAGAAAAGUAUUUACAUUCUGCUCCCAGUGCAGGGGCGUGGAGCUCAUUUCCCUGCCCCAAUCAAUACUGGCUUUUAUAGUUAAAAAAAAAAAAAAAAAAAA